GUGACGCCAUGUGGACCGCCCUGGCAGAAGGAACGCAUGCGCAGUACAGUGCGAGAGCAAAGCUCUUCACCGCCCCCUCCCACUCCAUCCUGGAUGCUGAGACGCCUGCCCCCAACCCCUCCUAGGCUCGUUACCCACCAGGUCUUCGUCAUGGCGGAAUGCUUCUGGAUGAGCAGCUUGCUGCGAAGGCUGUGGCGGAGGACGGGCGUGAAAGCCAGGGGACCCACGCGUGCGCUCCCUCCUCCACGCUGAAAGCCAGAGUGCAGCCUGAAUGCAAUGGAGAGAAACCAGCCUGUUCUGGAUGUUAACUGUCCCCAUAGGGACCAUCAAAUGCCCACAUCGGGACUCCACAUGAACUUCAGGAAAUGCAGGCAGGUCCUGGAUCUCCCUGCCUCACAGGAUGACAGUGAGCUCAGGACCACCACCUGGAGAAGAGGUUGCAGCCAACAGACCUGGACUGUCACCUGGACCAUUGUCCCACCAGCCAUUCUUCAGUAUGAAGAUUCAUUCCUUUGCAAUUUCCGUGCAAUGUAUAUUCCUUCCUUGCAUUUAUGAAUUCCAAUCAUGGGAGUUCAUAAAGCCUCUUUGAUUUCCUGUGUCUCAGAUGCUAAUAAACCCAGGGGCUAUCGGAGAGUAGCCCCAAAAACAUGA
Jaculus jaculus (lesser Egyptian jerboa) is the source of this 651-nucleotide long non-coding RNA. RefSeq lists it as uncharacterized. NCBI's taxonomy places the organism in Eukaryota, Metazoa, Chordata, Mammalia, Rodentia, Dipodidae. The record is from RefSeq and is a predicted model, not a curated record. The transcript has 2 exons.